Molecule: long non-coding RNA, 543 nt
Organism: Dermacentor albipictus
Lineage: Eukaryota; Metazoa; Arthropoda; Arachnida; Ixodida; Ixodidae
Source: RefSeq, a predicted model, not a curated record
UCUCUCGGAGAGACAAAUGAUUUCAGCUGUUCUGUUGGUGGCAGACAACCGUAAAGAGGAGCUUUUUUUUUGUAAAAUUCACGUUGAAGACGAUCACCGUUCGCUUGCGCUUACGUCGACCGUCAAAGACGUAACUAUUCCCGAAAUGGAUGACCUGUUGGAAACCGUGGUUUAGGAAUAUCUUAAACUCCGGUAUUUGUUUUCACAAUUUUUUCAUGACAUAAAAUGCGAGCGUUUUCAGGCUGAAAUUUUUACACGACACUAGUCGAAUGUCCCAGCUUGCCCUUGCGGCUGCCUUGAGUGCUCUCGCAGCGCAUCUGGGGUCGACCUCUGGACCGGAAAUAGUAAAGAAUGACGCUUCGCAUGGAUGCCCACACGACCCGUUCGAAUGCUUCGUGUUCUGCAAAAGCAUGGAACACGAGUUCUUCUUUUGCGUGGGACUUCGCCAGCACUUGUGCUUGUGCAACACUGACACGCCGGUAGAAGAUCCUCGCUGAGCGAUACGAGAAACUCCCUAAAAAUGAAGACAUUUGCACUGUCUCA